GACGAACGCUGGCGGCGUGCUUAACACAUGCAAGUCGAACGGAAAGGCCCUGCUUUUGUGGGGUGCUCGAGUGGCGAACGGGUGAGUAACACGUGAGUAACCUGCCCUUGACUUUGGGAUAACUUCAGGAAACUGGGGCUAAUACCGGAUAGGAGCUCCUGCUGCAUGGUGGGGGUUGGAAAGUUUCGGCGGUUGGGGAUGGACUCGCGGCUUAUCAGCUUGUUGGUGGGGUAGUGGCUUACCAAGGCUUUGACGGGUAGCCGGCCUGAGAGGGUGACCGGCCACAUUGGGACUGAGAUACGGCCCAGACUCCUACGGGGGGCAGCAGUGGGGAAUAUUGCACAAUGGGCGGAAGCCUGAUGCAGCAACGCCGCGUGCGGGAUGACGGCCUUCGGGUUGUAAACCGCUUUCGCCUGUGACGAAGCGUGAGUGACGGUAAUGGGUAAAGAAGCACCGGCUAACUACGUGCCAGCAGCCGCGGUGAUACGUAGGGUGCGAGCGUUGUCCGGAUUUAUUGGGCGUAAAGGGCUCGUAGGUGGUUGAUCGCGUCGGAAGUGUAAUCUUGGGGCUUAACCCUGAGCGUGCUUUCGAUACGGGUUGACUUGAGGAAGGUAGGGGAGAAUGGAAUUCCUGGUGGAGCGGUGGAAUGCGCAGAUAUCAGGAGGAACACCAGUGGCGAAGGCGGUUCUCUGGGCCUUUCCUGACGCUGAGGAGCGAAAGCGUGGGGAGCGAACAGGCUUAGAUACCCUGGUAGUCCACGCUGUAAACGGUGGGUACUAGGUGUGGGGUCCAUUCCACGGGUUCCGUGCCGUAGCUAACGCUUUAAGUACCCCGCCUGGGGAGUACGGCCGCAAGGCUAAAACUCAAAGGAAUUGACGGGGCCCCGCACAAGCGGCGGAGCAUGCGGAUUAAUUCGAUGCAACGCGUAGAACCUUACCUGGGUUUGACAUGGAUCGGGAGUGCUCAGAGAUGGGUGUGCCUCUUUUGGGGUCGGUUCACAGGUGGUGCAUGCCUGUCGUCAGCUCGUGUCGUGAGAUGUUGGGUUAAGUCCCGCAACGAGCGCAACCCUUGUUCACUGUUGCCAGCACGUUAUGGUGGGGACUCAGUGGAGACCGCCGGGGUCAACUCGGAGGAAGGUGGGGAUGACGUCAAGUCAUCAUGCCCCUUAUGUCCAGGGCUUCACGCAUGCUACAAUGGCUGGUACAGAGAGUGGCGAGCCUGUGAGGGUGAGCGAAUCUCGGAAAGCCGGUCUCAGUUCGGAUUGGGGUCUGCAACUCGACCUCAUGAAGUCGGAGUCGCUAGUAAUCGCAGAUCAGCAACGCUGCGGUGAAAAAGUUCCCGGG
RNAcentral lists this ribosomal RNA (1343 nucleotides) under uncultured bacterium. Its description in RNAcentral is "16S ribosomal RNA". It matches the Rfam family "Bacterial small subunit ribosomal RNA", at positions 28 to 1378 of the family's 1533-position model. The record is from RNAcentral.